Molecule: transfer RNA, 71 nt
Filed under: Loxodonta africana (African savanna elephant)
Lineage: Eukaryota; Metazoa; Chordata; Mammalia; Proboscidea; Elephantidae
Rfam family: tRNA
About the family: Transfer RNA (tRNA) molecules are approximately 80 nucleotides in length. Their secondary structure includes four short double-helical elements and three loops (D, anti-codon, and T loops). Further hydrogen bonds mediate the characteristic L-shaped molecular structure. tRNAs have two regions of fundamental functional importance: the anti-codon, which is responsible for specific mRNA codon recognition, and the 3' end, to which the tRNAs corresponding amino acid is attached (by aminoacyl-tRNA synthetases). tRNAs cope with the degeneracy of the genetic code in two manners: having more than one tRNA (with a specific anti-codon) for a particular amino acid; and 'wobble' base-pairing, i.e. permitting non-standard base-pairing at the 3rd anti-codon position.
Source: Rfam by way of RNAcentral
UCAUGGGUGGUUCAGUGGUAGAAUUCCUGCCUUCCGUGCAAGAGACCCAGGUUCGAUUCCCAGCAAAUGCA